AGAGUUUGAUCAUGGCUCAGGAUGAACGCUGGCGGCGUGCCUAAUACAUGCAAGUCGAGCGAACAGAUAAGGAGCUUGCUCCUUUGACGUUAGCGGCGGACGGGUGAGUAACACGUGGGUAACCUACCUAUAAGACUGGAAUAACUCCGGGAAACCGGGGCUAAUGCCGGAUAACAUUUAGAACCGCAUGGUUCUAAAGUGAAAGAUGGUUUUGCUAUCACUUAUAGAUGGACCCGCGCCGUAUUAGCUAGUUGGUAAGGUAACGGCUUACCAAGGCAACGAUACGUAGCCGACCUGAGAGGGUGAUCGGCCACACUGGAACUGAGACACGGUCCAGACUCCUACGGGAGGCAGCAGUAGGGAAUCUUCCGCAAUGGGCGAAAGCCUGACGGAGCAACGCCGCGUGAGUGAUGAAGGUCUUCGGAUCGUAAAACUCUGUUAUUAGGGAAGAACAAAUGUGUAAGUAACUAUGCACGUCUUGACGGUACCUAAUCAGAAAGCCACGGCUAACUACGUGCCAGCAGCCGCGGUAAUACGUAGGUGGCAAGCGUUAUCCGGAAUUAUUGGGCGUAAAGCGCGCGUAGGCGGUUUCUUAAGUCUGAUGUGAAAGCCCACGGCUCAACCGUGGAGGGUCAUUGGAAACUGGGAAACUUGAGUGCAGAAGAGGAAAGUGGAAUUCCAUGUGUAGCGGUGAAAUGCGCAGAGAUAUGGAGGAACACCAGUGGCGAAGGCGACUUUCUGGUCUGUAACUGACGCUGAUGUGCGAAAGCGUGGGGAUCAAACAGGAUUAGAUACCCUGGUAGUCC
RNAcentral lists this ribosomal RNA (806 nucleotides) under uncultured bacterium. RNAcentral describes it as "bacterial SSU rRNA". It matches the Rfam family "Bacterial small subunit ribosomal RNA", at positions 8 to 796 of the family's 1533-position model. The record is from RNAcentral.